Long non-coding RNA from Leopardus geoffroyi (Geoffroy's cat), 1360 nucleotides. RefSeq lists it as uncharacterized. Lineage: Eukaryota; Metazoa; Chordata; Mammalia; Carnivora; Felidae. The record is from RefSeq and is a predicted model, not a curated record. The transcript is spliced from 3 exons.
AUUCCAGCCCUAAGGUCAGGACCCACUGGGACCUAACUGGCACAUACCCAGUGCUGAGCCAAUCACUGUGGCCAGGGAGGAUGGCCAGAUUGAGGUCCUGUGACCACCCUCCCUAAGGAAACUCCUGAGCUGUUCAACCUGUUUUCCUGUGUGGGAGUGAACCUGAGAGAACAGAGGAAAGACGUCAAACUCAUAAGCACGGUGUGGAACUGGAUUACCACUCCCCCCCAUUCGGUGCCCUGUAUCGAAGUGCCCUGCUCGGUUGGAGGAUUAUACAGCACGGCCCAUGUUGUCCUCAGGCAUGGCAGAGGGGCUGCUGAACAGUGAAAACAGAUGUGAGCACACGCGUUAAGAACCACCGAAAUUGGUCAUAGCCCCGUGGAAGAAGAAAGAUGCCUGAUGUGUCAGUAGGGAGGCGAGGGAUCCUUUUGAGGCAUGCCCAGUGGGAGGACUUUCUUUUUCUUCCGGUUGAGUCUAGUUUGUCUUCACUCUUUGAACACUUGGAGACAGGAAUUAAUUCCCCUGGUCACUGUGUCACUCAUUUGUCAGCUCACUCGGCUGCUCACCACAUCCAUGUGUUCCCAUCUUUAUUUAGCUCAGCCUUUUUUUUUUCAAGCAAGAAGGGAGAUUUCUUAGGAGAACAUAGACAGCCCAAGGACAAGCAGAGAAUAGAGUAGCUGGUCCUCCCCAAAGAUGGGAGCCAGCAACUGUUUAAGACAUGAGAAGCCAAGCCUGCUGUAUCUUUUGGCCAUUCUGGCGUCACACAUUCACUCACCUCUGCUCCUCUUUGUACAUCACUAGACCCUUCCAUCUUUUAAAUCUCUUGGCUUCUCUCCGUUUCCACUGCCAUGACCCUAGUGUAAAGUACUUUUCUUUUUUUUUUGCCUGGGAAACUGAGGCAGCCUCCUGAAUUUUCUCCCGAAUCCCACCCUUGCCCAUUUCCAAUCUGUGUCUCUCACUACAGCCAGAGGGAUUUUUAGAAAUGAACAGUUUAUUCAACAGAUUUCACUGAUCCUAGGAAAGACGUCAAACUCAUAAGCACAGUGUGGAACUGGAUUACCACUCCCCCCCAUUCGGUGCCCUGUAUGGAAGUGCCCUGCUCGGUUGGAGGAUUAUACAGCACGGCCCAUGUUGUCCUCAGGCAUGGCAGAGGGGCUGCUGAACAGUGAAAACAGAUGUGAGCACACGCGUUAAGAACCAGUGAGUAAUUUACCACUUUUCUUUUCCUUUUUCCACCACAAUGGCAAUAUUCCAGAUAGAGACAGACUGCUCUGUCAACCUGAGUGCAGAGGGGAGAGGAGACGAAGGAGAGCCACAUGUGCAUGUAGUCUGAGACAUAAAGAAACUUUAUUGUAGGCCA